RNAcentral lists this unclassified non-coding RNA (381 nucleotides) under soil metagenome. RNAcentral's name for it is "partial contains 5.8S ribosomal RNA, internal transcribed spacer 2, and large subunit ribosomal RNA". The stretch from base 1 to 120 matches the Rfam family "5.8S ribosomal RNA", at positions 35 to 154 of the family's 154-position model. The record is from RNAcentral.
GAUGAAGAACGUAGUGAAAUGCGAUACGUAAUGUGAAUUGCAGAAUUCAGUGAAUCAUCGAAUCUUUGAACGCACCUUGCGCUCCUUGGUAUUCCGAGGAGCAUGCCUGUUUGAGUGUCAUUAAUAUAUCAACCUCUUCAGCUUAUGCUUGUUGAGUGUUGGAUGGUGGGGGUUUGCUGGUGUCUUAUGAAGUCAGCUCCUCUGAAAUGCAUUAGCGGAACAAUUUGUUGACCGUUCAUUGGUGUGAUAAAAAUAUCUACGCUAUUGACGUCAGUCAGUUCAGCUUCUAACAGUCCAUUGACUUGGACAAAUUUUUCAUUAAUGUGACCUCAAAUCAGGUAGGACUACCCGCUGAACUUAAGCAUAUCAAUAAGCGGAGGA